AUUGAACGCCGGCGGCAUGCCUUACACAUGCAAGUCGAACGGCAGCACGGGUGCUUGCACCUGGUGGCGAGUGGCGAACGGGUGAGUAAUACAUCGGAACGUACCUUAUCGUGGGGGAUAACGCAGCGAAAGCUGUGCUAAUACCGCAUACGCCCUGAGGGGGAAAGCGGGGGAUCGCAAGACCUCGCGCGAUUAGAGCGGCCGAUGCCUGAUUAGCUUGUUGGUGGGGUAAAAGCCCACCAAGGCGACGAUCAGUAGCUGGUCUGAGAGGACGAUCAGCCACACUGGGACUGAGACACGGCCCAGACUCCUACGGGAGGCAGCAGUGGGGAAUUUUGGACAAUGGGGGCAACCCUGAUCCAGCAUGCCGCGUGAGUGAAGAAGGCCUUCGGGUUGUAAAGCUCUUUUGUCAGGGAAGAAACACCGGCUCUAACACAGUCCGGGAAUGACGGUACCUGAAGAAUAAGCACCGGCUAACUACGUGCCAGCCGCCGCAGUAA
RNAcentral lists this ribosomal RNA (500 nucleotides) under uncultured bacterium. Its description in RNAcentral is "partial 16S ribosomal RNA". It matches the Rfam family "Bacterial small subunit ribosomal RNA", at positions 29 to 523 of the family's 1533-position model. The record is from RNAcentral.